CCGCAAGGUUAAAACUCAAAUGAAUUGACGGGGGCCCGCACAGCGGUGGAGCAUGUGGUUUAAUUCGAUGCAACGCGAAGAACCUACCUGGCCUUGACAUCCACGGAAUUUGGCAGAGAUGCCUUAGUGCCUUCGGGAACCGUGAGACAGGUGCUGCAUGGCUGUCGUCAGCUCGUGUUGUGAAAUGUUGGGUUAAGUCCCGCAACGAGCGCAACCCUUAUCCUUUGUUGCCAGCGAUACGGUCGGGAACUCAAAGGAGACUGCCGGUGAUAAACCGGAGGAAGGUGGGGAUGACGUCAAGUCAUCAUGGCCCUUACGGCCAGGGCUACACACGUGCUACAAUGGCGCAUACAAAGAGAAGCGACCUCGCGAGAGCAAGCGGACCUCAUAAAGUGCGUCGUAGUCCGGAUCGGAGUCUGCAACUCGACUCCGUGAAGUCGGAAUCGCUAGUAAUCGUAGAUCAGAAUGCUACGGUGAAUACGUUCCCGGGCCUUGUACACACCGCCCGUCACACCAUGGGAGUGGGUUGCAAAAGAAGUAGGUAGCUUAACCUUCGGGAGGGCGCUUACCACUUUGUGAUUCAUGACUGGGGUGAAGUCGUAACAAGGUAACCAAGGGCGAAUUCCAG
This 628-nucleotide ribosomal RNA is filed under the name uncultured Erwinia sp. Its description in RNAcentral is "bacterial SSU rRNA". It matches the Rfam family "Bacterial small subunit ribosomal RNA", at positions 886 to 1516 of the family's 1533-position model. Lineage: Bacteria; Pseudomonadati; Pseudomonadota; Gammaproteobacteria; Enterobacterales; Erwiniaceae. The record is from RNAcentral.